RNAcentral lists this ribosomal RNA (405 nucleotides) under uncultured bacterium. RNAcentral describes it as "bacterial SSU rRNA". It matches the Rfam family "Bacterial small subunit ribosomal RNA", at positions 917 to 1345 of the family's 1533-position model. The record is from RNAcentral.
GGGCCCGCACAAGCGGUGGAGUAUGUGGUUUAAUUCGAUGCAACGCGAAGAACCUUACCAGGGUUUGACAUCCUGCGAAUCUCUUGGAAACGAGAGAGUGCCUUCGGGAACGCAGUGACAGGUGGUGCAUGGCUGUCGUCAGCUCGUGUCGUGAGAUGUUGGGUUAAGUCCCGCAACGAGCGCAACCCACGUCUUUAGUUGCCAGCAUUUAGUUGGGCACUCUAGAGAGACUGCCGGUGAUAAACCGGAGGAAGGUGUGGAUGACGUCAAGUCAUCAUGCCCCUUACGGGUUGGGCUACACACGUGCUACAAUGGUAGUGACAAUGGGUUAAUCCCAAAAAGCUAUCUCAGUUCGGAUUGUCGUCUGCAACUCGACGGCAUGAAGUCGGAAUCGCUAGUAAUCGC